GACCCCAAUUCAGGCGGGGCCACCCGCUGGGUUUAA
Molecule: ribosomal RNA, 36 nt
Filed under: Spathanthus unilateralis
Lineage: Eukaryota; Viridiplantae; Streptophyta; Magnoliopsida; Poales; Rapateaceae
Description: partial 26S ribosomal RNA
Source: RNAcentral